This 394-nucleotide ribosomal RNA is filed under the name uncultured bacterium. Its description in RNAcentral is "bacterial SSU rRNA". It matches the Rfam family "Bacterial small subunit ribosomal RNA", at positions 505 to 898 of the family's 1533-position model. The record is from RNAcentral.
GUGUCAGCCGCCGCGGUAAUACAGAGGGUGCAAGCGUUAAUCGGAUUUACUGGGCGUAAAGCGCGCGUAGGCGGCUAAUUAAGUCAAAUGUGAAAUCCCCGAGCUUAACUUGGGAAUUGCAUUCGAUACUGGUUAGCUAGAGUGUGGGAGAGGAUGGUAGAAUUCCAGGUGUAGCGGUGAAAUGCGUAGAGAUCUGGAGGAAUACCGAUGGCGAAGGCAGCCAUCUGGCCUAACACUGACGCUGAGGUGCGAAAGCAUGGGGAGCAAACAGGAUUAGAUACCCUGGUAGUCCAUGCCGUAAACGAUGUCUACUAGCCGUUGGGGCCUUUGAGGCUUUAGUGGCGCAGCUAACGCGAUAAGUAGACCGCCUGGGGAGUACGGUCGCAAGACUAAA